GUGCUUGCUUCGGCAGCACAUAUACUAAAAUUGGAAAGAUACAGGGAAGAUUAGCAUGGCCCCUGCGUAAGGAUGACACGCAAAUUCAUGAAGCAUUCCUUAUUUUU
Meriones unguiculatus (Mongolian gerbil) is the source of this 107-nucleotide small nuclear RNA. NCBI's taxonomy places the organism in Eukaryota, Metazoa, Chordata, Mammalia, Rodentia, Muridae. The record is from Ensembl.